RNAcentral lists this ribosomal RNA (253 nucleotides) under uncultured bacterium. RNAcentral describes it as "partial 16S ribosomal RNA". It matches the Rfam family "Bacterial small subunit ribosomal RNA", at positions 524 to 776 of the family's 1533-position model. The record is from RNAcentral.
UACGAAGGGUGCUAGCGUUGUUCGGAAUCACUGGGCGUAAAGCGCGCGUAGGCGGCUUCUCAAGUCAGGGGUGAAAUCCUGGGGCUUAACCCCAGAAUUGCCUUUGAAACUGUGGAGCUGGAGUGUUGGAGGGGUUGGCGGAAUUCCUAAUGUAGAGGUGAAAUUCGUAGAUAUUAGGAGGAACACCGGUGGCGAAGGCGGCCAACUGGACAACAACUGACGCUGAGGCGCGAAAGCGUGGGGAGCAAACAGG